CAUUAUUGUUACCGAGUGGCUCAGACAAAUCAGGGAUGGAGGCAGAAUGUUUCGUCGACACAGUUCGACACAGGACAAGUAUUUUGACUAUAGGCAAUAAAUGUAGUUUAGAACACGAACAAGUAUUACAUAUAAAUUGUGAAUAGUGAUACCUAGGAGUCGAAGAAGAUUGGUAGAGUGAAUUUCUUGGAUCGAAGGACACAAGUUCGCGAUACGAGAAAUGGACGUGUAGUGUCAGAAACGUGGGGUUUGGAGCAGAUGAAACAUAAUUACAGUUGGGGUAGGGAACAUUAGGGUUAAACAGUAACAUAGUAGUGCGAUGUGGUUGGUCUGUCUUCGCAUCAUUCUUCGUUACGCUAGACUUGGGUGGUAGAUUCUAGAUGCGUAGUUUUCGCCGGAACAGUGGUCAACCCUGGUUAUCAAUUUUUUACAUGAGGUUUUCUUUAGUCUUCAAGGCUUUUUUCAAGGAUCUAGUGUCGCUCAUACCUCAGUUUUGAUAUCUUAGCAAGUGUAAAAUUUGUUCUCGAUUUUGCAUCUACAAGCGUGCGCGAUUUUUCAUUUGUAGGAUUCUUGAUAGUGGAUGGAUUGUGGAUUAUUUUCUUUCUGUGAUUCUUGAUGGGAUUUCCCAUUUAUUGCGAAACAACCUAUGUAUCUUAUGGGGAUGGUACAAGCUCGCGUUCUUUUUUUGUAAAGCAAACGAAUUUUUUCUAACCACUUCGAAGGGUCGAGCUGUUUUCUCUUGUUUCUUUAUUGACUUUGGUUCUUUGGCCGUUGUUGACGCGUUUCGUCCUUCUUUUCAACAUGGCCUUAUUAUGCAAGUUGUACUCCGUUCUUCACGGAUUUUUCACAGCUUAAUGCGGUUGAUUUAUAAUCACAUUGCUCACGAUCCACUUCGGUUCAUAUAAUGCUACAAAACUUAAAGGAGGAAACUGAGGGAAAAUAAGGAAUGCUGUUGCCCGGCUAAAAAGGCAAAGUCUAAUUGCAGGCCUGACAAUGAGCUUAAUAGGGAUGGAGACCCAAUUUUCGAUGAAGAUGAUGAUCAAUUCUACAUUGCAUGUUUUUCGCUUUUGAUUUUAUUUUUUCCAAUAAACAGU
Molecule: long non-coding RNA, 1094 nt
Organism: Daphnia carinata
Lineage: Eukaryota; Metazoa; Arthropoda; Branchiopoda; Diplostraca; Daphniidae
Exons: 3
Source: RefSeq, a predicted model, not a curated record